RNAcentral lists this ribosomal RNA (350 nucleotides) under uncultured eukaryote. RNAcentral's name for it is "SSU rRNA". It matches the Rfam family "Eukaryotic small subunit ribosomal RNA", at positions 594 to 945 of the family's 1831-position model. The record is from RNAcentral.
AUAGCGUAUAUUAGUGUUGUUGCGGUUAAAAAGCUCGUAGUUGAAUUUCGGGAUUGGGAUAUAUCGGUCAUGCCUUUAGGGGCAUGAAUCGGUGUGUAGCCAAUUUCUCACCUUCUGGUGAAUUGGGAUGCUCUUGGGUGUUUCAAUGAACUAGGACUUUUACUUUGAAAAAAAUAUAGUGUUUAAAGCGGGCAUUUUUGCUUGAAUACAUUAGCAUGGAAUAAUAAAAUAGGACGAUGGUUCUAUUUUGUUGGUUUUAGGACCACGUAAUGAUUAAUAGGGAUAGUUGGGGGCAUUAGUAUUCAAUUGUCAGAGGUGAAAUUCUUGGAUUUAUUGAAGACUAACUACUG